ACAGCAGUCGCCACGGGAAUACGGAGGGGGCUAGCGUUGUUCGGAAUUACUGGGCGUAAAGCGCACGUAGGCGGCUUGGUAAGUUAGAGGUGAAAGCCUGGAGCUCAACUCCAGAAUUGCCUUUAAGACUGCCGAGCUAGCAGGUGAGAGAGGUAAGUGGAAUUCCGAGUGUAGAGGUGAAAUUCGUAGAUAUUCGGAAGAACACCAGUGACGAAGGCGGCUUACUGGCUCAUACUGGACGCUGAGGUGCGAAAGCGUGGGGAGCAAACAGGAUUAGAUACCCCUGUAGUCCCUGUCUCUUAUAC
This 305-nucleotide ribosomal RNA is filed under the name uncultured bacterium. Its description in RNAcentral is "partial 16S ribosomal RNA". It matches the Rfam family "Bacterial small subunit ribosomal RNA", at positions 505 to 807 of the family's 1533-position model. The record is from RNAcentral.